UAACUCAGACUCAGAAAGACAAACAUGUUUGCUCUAAUGGGAGUAGCCUCCAUCACACACCCCUUGGUCACCAACUGAGCUGUUUUGCUGUGAUGAACUGAAAAGAAACUCUGAAACCAUGGACCCAUGCUUCUUCCUGUGUAUGACAAGAAAUUCGAGCGCACUCAGGCAAAAGCUAACAGAAGAGAUGCAGGCCAGUGCUGCUGUAUGGGUCAAACUUCUGAAAAUUCCACCCGGCUUACUACUAUACAAACCGCCUAUCUGCUGGGGAUGCUGCAGUCUGCUGCUGAGGAUCUGGACCAGCACCAUACAAAGUGGUUGUUUCUAGGGAAACCAACGGUGGGUUUUGCCAGCAUGUCAACAGGCUUUGUGAUCUGAAAGAGGCUGGAGGGAAGCGAAGGCAGAGCCACUGAGCUGGAGCGGUGAGAUCCGGGAGGGGGCUGCCUGCCAGGCCGGCUGUGAGAGAAGAGCACAGCGCUGAAAGUUGGCAGAUUCGGAAACGACGCGGCAGAAUCCUAAUUGUAGUGGACGCACUUAGUAGCCAAUCCUGGCACGUGAGUCGAGAGAGCAGAAACGUCAGCAGAAAUAGACCCACUGCCCUCCAAAGGUCUAGCUGGAUGGGGAUGUCCAACAGGGGAUCCUGAACCUGUGGCAAGGGAAGCAGACACCAUCUGCAGCUCCCACACAGAUGGAUGGAUUUUCCUACACAUGCUGCGCACUCUUGGUGUGAUUUCAUCUCAUGCAUUUUCAAAGCGUACUGGGUGUCGGCAGAUGGCCCAGCUGGUGGGCCGAGACUGGCGGUCACUGGGCCUGCAGGAACUGGCCUGUUGCUUUACACUUCCAGCCCAAGUGAUGGUUUUGCGGUCCCGGAAGGAAAGAGGAAUGUGGACUCACAUGGCAGAAGAGCCAGCUUCUGAGGAAGACAUGUGGCCUUCUUCAACUCUCCCUCAGAAUGAAGCCAAUCAGGUGGGGACUGGAAGCCCACACUCAGGUGGUCGAGACCAACCAGGAGGAGGUCAUCACUCUGCUAUGUCAGGUUCUGGGUCUGAACCCAGUCCACUGAGGAGGGAAAUACACAUGUGUGUCAGUUAUUUUUCUGUUGCUGUGAAGAGACACCAUGGCCAAGGCUUGUAAAA
Onychomys torridus (southern grasshopper mouse) is the source of this 1136-nucleotide long non-coding RNA. RefSeq lists it as uncharacterized. Lineage: Eukaryota; Metazoa; Chordata; Mammalia; Rodentia; Cricetidae. The record is from RefSeq and is a predicted model, not a curated record. The transcript has 6 exons.